GUGGUAUUAGUCUGCAAUAGAAAACACUUCACUGAUCUUCAAUCUGUAGCUGAACUACCAGACUGCAAUUCAUCCACAAUUUAUGAUAAGCAUCAUUUUCAAGUUCUCAAUAGCUUGGCCAUCGACUGAUUGGCUCAACCACUUAGAGAUGAAGCAGACGUGGGUCAUAAAUGGCUUAGCCGUCUAUCAAGUCUCAUUCUCCUCCGACAAACUCCAAAAUCAUUAUUAAGGAUAAAGAGAGGACAGAACAAGCUCAGAUGGCUGAGAACGCAAUUCAAUGACUGUCCAGGAAAUUCCUGGAUAGAUUACGCUUCGCCUUGAGAGAUACCUUGGAACUUUACAUCAGGAAAGAUGAGAAGAAAUUUCAGAGGCCAACCUCAAAGGGAGUGAAACAAUGCAUAAAAACUGGACCAUCUCCUGUGAGUUGGAGGAGAUUGUGGAGAUAAUCUGAGAGAAUACUGGUCUCCAUAUUACAUUCUGGAUCAGUGGUGCUGGAAGAGCACAGAAGUUCAGGCAGCAUCCGAGGAGCAGCGAA
Chiloscyllium plagiosum (whitespotted bambooshark) is the source of this 535-nucleotide non-coding RNA. NCBI's taxonomy places the organism in Eukaryota, Metazoa, Chordata, Chondrichthyes, Orectolobiformes, Hemiscylliidae. The record is from RefSeq and is a predicted model, not a curated record.